Molecule: long non-coding RNA, 1526 nt
Organism: Rhincodon typus (whale shark)
Lineage: Eukaryota; Metazoa; Chordata; Chondrichthyes; Orectolobiformes; Rhincodontidae
Exons: 3
Source: RefSeq, a predicted model, not a curated record
GCUGUUCGGGUAAAUUUCGCAAACACUCAGCAUUCAGCUUCCGCGUUGACAGUUCGAGCCGCAGGGACGGCGUUUAAACGUAACCCUGUAUUCAAUCCAUUUCCCCGCUUCUGUUUACAAGGGGGUUCGGGGUUAAGAAGAAGAACUGCAAACCAGGAACAAAAACAGAAGUUGUUGUGGAAGAAAAGGUCAGCAGGAUUGGCGGCAUCUGCUAAGAAGAAUUUUAAAAAAUCAGAGUUGACGUUUCGGCUCCGGCGACCCUUUGUCAGAAGACGAAUUCCCGGCACCUUCAAAACACAAAGUAAAGAAAAUGUCUUCAAAAAGAAAUCCUGCAAACAACAGAAAAGAUUACCGUAUUUGGAGAAGGGUGUGCGAGCUAUUCCUGGCGGUCAGCGUUUCCGCCUUUUUGGAUCGUUGUAUUGAAGCUAAAUAUGGAAAACAGAGCUGACAGGGGAGAUGUAGUGGAAACCGACACUGACUGGAUGCAUCUAAAACACGAACCCCGGGAAAGAGCAGGGCGUUAAGAGUAGGAGGGGGAAGUACGUGUUGGCUAGGGCGCUGGGAAUAGUGAAAAAGUUACCAUUCAGGGGGUGCGAGAGAGAGGGAGGGGGGCAGGGAAUUGAAAGGAGGUGUCUCAGCCGUUCACACACUCCAGUGGGACUCGGAGUCGAGAGGGAAGCGGGAGAAGGCACUUUCAGGUUAAAAGUGGCAUUCGUAGUUUUAUUGUACCCGUGUGUACCGGGCACAGCCAGAUGCAACAACAUUCUGGGGGAUAAAUGAAACGGAGAUCUGGGAUGCUGAACGUGGUAGAGCAUUGCCGGUAGAGAGGGAGAAAGCAUACGCGAAAAGCAUUACAACGUGAAAUAGAGAUAGUAGGAACUGCAGAUGCUGGAGAAUCUCAGCUAACAAGGUGUAGAUCUGGAUGAACACAGCAGGUCAAGCAGCAUCAGAGGAGCAGGAAAGCUGACGUUUCGGGCCUGGACCCUUAUGCAGAAAAAAAAUGUGAAAUGGUUUCUUGAGGAGGGCAGAUGUAAAACAUGUUUUUGUGGAGAGACUGUAAACAAGAGCAGACGCAGUUUGGAGAUCAGAAGACAAAACAGGAGAAGGGAAGGGUUUUGUGUGUUGAAAACAUUCCGGUCGGUGACGCUGUGAUCCGCCUAAUGUUUCAAACUGCUCCCUGUUCCGCAUUCUGUUUCCCAGACCCUGGGCAUUGCCCAGUUUAGCUGUUGCAAUGCACACCCGCUAAUUGUCUCGCAUGGCUGGAUUUAUUGUCCAAAAAUAAACGGACAAUAUAAGCUGAUCUGUCCGCUACUACGCGAUAAAUGUGAGAUUCAGCGUGUGUGGAGGGACAGCUUGGAAGGCGAUGAGCCCUUCGGCGAUUCAUAUCCCAGUUCAAACAAAUGACCACCAUAUUCAAUGCCUAAAUUUGGAGAGCUCAUACUUGGAUGUCUCAGUCACACUUUUUCAAUCCUCCCGCUGCUUUAUCGGCCUCGAGUGUAAAAAAUAAAGUAUUUUUUAACGUAAAA